AGCCUUCUCUAUCCGUGCUGAGAUUUCGUCACACACCAGAACACAAGAGUUGAUGAGAUUAUCAAGAUAAGUGAAGCG
This 78-nucleotide microRNA precursor is filed under the name Schistosoma mattheei. RNAcentral describes it as "mir-3492 microRNA precursor family". It matches the Rfam family "mir-3492 microRNA precursor family". The record is from Rfam by way of RNAcentral. Lineage: Eukaryota; Metazoa; Platyhelminthes; Trematoda; Strigeidida; Schistosomatidae.